UGUUUGGCACCUCGAUGUCGGCUCAUCACAUCCUGGGGCUGAAGCCGGUCCCAAGGGUAUGGCUGUUCGCCAUUUAAAGUGGUACGCGAGCUGGGUUUAGAACGUCGUGAGACAGUUCGGUCCCUAUCUGCCGUGGACGUUUGAGAUUUGAGAGGGGCUGCUCCUAGUACGAGAGGACCGGAGUGGACGAACCUCUGGUGUUCCGGUUGUCACGCCAGUGGCAUUGCCGGGUAGCUAUGUUCGGAAAAGAUAACCGCUGAAAGCAUCUAAGCGGGAAACUUGCCUCAAGAUGAGAUCUCACUGGGAACUUGAUUCCCCUGAAGGGCCGUCGAAGACUACGACGUUGAUAGGCUGGGUGUGUAAGCGUUGUGAGGCGUUGAGCUAACCAGUACUAAUUGCCCGUGAGGCUUGACCAU
Molecule: ribosomal RNA, 416 nt
Filed under: Pseudomonas aeruginosa
Lineage: Bacteria; Pseudomonadati; Pseudomonadota; Gammaproteobacteria; Pseudomonadales; Pseudomonadaceae
Description: bacterial LSU rRNA
Rfam family: Bacterial large subunit ribosomal RNA
Source: RNAcentral